This 253-nucleotide ribosomal RNA is filed under the name uncultured bacterium. RNAcentral describes it as "partial 16S ribosomal RNA". It matches the Rfam family "Bacterial small subunit ribosomal RNA", at positions 524 to 776 of the family's 1533-position model. The record is from RNAcentral.
UACGGAGGGUGCAAGCGUUAAUCGGAAUUACUGGGCGUAAAGCGUGCGUAGGUGGUUCGUUAAGUCCGUUGUGAAAGCCCCGAGCUCAACUUGGGAAUUGCAGUGGAUACUGGCGAGCUAGAGUGCGGUAGAGGAAGGUGGAAUUCCCGGUGUAGCGGCGAAAUGCGUAGAGAUCGGGAGGAACACCAGUGGCGAAGGCGGCCUUCUGGACCAGCACUGACACUCAAGCACGAAAGCGUGGGGAGCAAACAGG